Molecule: ribosomal RNA, 430 nt
Filed under: uncultured bacterium
Lineage: Bacteria
Description: bacterial SSU rRNA
Rfam family: Bacterial small subunit ribosomal RNA
Source: RNAcentral
GUAGGGAAUCUUGCGCAAUGGGCGAAAGCCUGACGCAGCGACACCGCGUGAGGGAUGACGGCCUUCGGGUUGUAAACCUCUUUCGGCAGGGACGAAGCGAUCGUGACGGUACCUGCAGAAGAAGCUCCGGCUAACUACGUGCCAGCAGCCGCGGUAAGACGUAGGGAGCGAGCGUUGUCCGGAUUCAUUGGGCGUAAAGAGCGCGCAGGCGGUUUGGUAAGUCGGAUGUGAAAACCCGGGGCUCAACCCCGGGCGUGCAUCCGAUACUGCCCGACUAGAGGUAGGUAGGGGAGAUCGGAAUUCCUGGUGUAGCGGUGAAAUGCGCAGAUAUCAGGAGGAACACCGGUGGCGAAGGCGGAUCUCUGGGCCUUACCUGACGCUCAGGCGCGAAAGCUAGGGGAGCGAACAGGAUUAGAAACCCGGGUAGUCC